GUAGGGAAUAUUGCGCAAUGGAGGAAACUCUGACGCAGCGACGCCGCGUGGGUGACGAAGGUCUUCGGAUCGUAAAGCCCUGUCGGAAGGGACGAAAGACGUGAUGGCUAAUAUCCAUCACGAGUGACGGUACCUUUAAAGGAAGCACCGGCUAACUACGUGCCAGCAGCCGCGGUAAUACGUAGGGUGCAAGCGUUGUUCGGAAUCAUUGGGCGUAAAGCGCGUGUAGGCGGCUAUUUAAGUCGGGUGUGAAAUCCCUCGGCUCAACCGAGGAAGUGCAUUCGAAACUGGAUAGCUUGAAGAUGGUAGGGGAAGGUGGAAUUCCAAGUGUAGAGGUGAAAUUCGUAGAUAUUUGGAGGAAUACCGGUGGCGAAGGCGGCCUUCUGGGCCACUCUUGACGCUGAGACGCGAAAGCGUGGGUAGCAAACAGGAUUAGAAACCCGUGUAGUCC
This 451-nucleotide ribosomal RNA is filed under the name uncultured bacterium. Its description in RNAcentral is "bacterial SSU rRNA". It matches the Rfam family "Bacterial small subunit ribosomal RNA", at positions 354 to 796 of the family's 1533-position model. The record is from RNAcentral.